Long non-coding RNA from Pogoniulus pusillus (Red-fronted tinkerbird), 564 nucleotides. RefSeq lists it as uncharacterized. Lineage: Eukaryota; Metazoa; Chordata; Aves; Piciformes; Lybiidae. The transcript is spliced from 2 exons. The record is from RefSeq and is a predicted model, not a curated record.
AUGAAGGGAGGGGGUUGGUGAGGCAGGGCCACCAGGCUGCUUAAAGCCUCCUGCCGCCGCCGGCAGACGAGGAAGCCUCACAGCACCGAGAGCAGAGCCCUGACCAUGCAGCCCCUCCUGCUCUUCCUCCUCCUCCUCUCUGCGUGCCUUGCCCGGGCGGACACCGUGGAGGGCCAGGAGGAGAUUCAGAAGACCACCGCUGCCCCGACGGCACAGGUCUCUGUGCAAAGCAUGAGCCCUGCCCGCAGCCCUCCCCUCCUCUCUCUCGCCCUGGGGCUGGCUCUGCCUUUCUUCCUGCGCCACUGACCCGGAGGGGGACACCUGGCACCUCACCGGCCCCGAGAAGACAGCCCUGGGUUGGCAUCCUCAGCACCGACACCGCCACGGACCCUCGCAGCGCAGAGGCCCAGCCAGGCCAACGCCAUCGCUCCUGUCCCUGCCUCUCUCCUCACCCUGGAAAUGACAGCCCCAAACUGCCGCAGCCCCAGCAAGGGGCCCCGAGCCCGGCUCCGGAGCGGCCCCGCAGCCAGCACCAGAAAUAAAGCGCUGGGGCAGAGGCUCCGA